Long non-coding RNA from Leopardus geoffroyi (Geoffroy's cat), 892 nucleotides. RefSeq lists it as uncharacterized. Lineage: Eukaryota; Metazoa; Chordata; Mammalia; Carnivora; Felidae. The transcript is spliced from 2 exons. The record is from RefSeq and is a predicted model, not a curated record.
UUAAACUAUCAGCAUCCAAAGGGAGAAUGAAAUGACAGAGACGGUCCCAGGUAGGGCCUGCUGGGUGAACCUGGUCUGCUCAGAGGCCAGAGGCCUGACCGUAAAAGGAGGAAGGACGGUGGCCACCUCUAAGAACUCGCACUUUAGCCCAGUAAUUCCCAGCCCUUUUGCUAUUGCUGUCCCGGUCAUGGUCUGCUUUGAUGCCUACUCUAGCCCCAUGCCAAAUAUGUGUCAUGUGGCUGACAUCGUGAAUUGUCCCUCAGCUCAAACCUGAUUCUGCUCGAGAAUGGUUUCUGAAUAUAGAGAACUCUCAGACGUCAAACGAACAGGGUCAAGAAUCUCGGCCGUGGCAACCAGAAAGUUCUAGAAGAUCACCAAAGGAGAGAUGGGAAUAGGAGCUCAGAUGAGGAGGGCAAAGCCUCCACCACCCAGGGGUCCCUUUCUGGGGGAAGUGACCGAGUGGAGUCUGGAAGAAGAGGAGGAGCCUGAAAACCGGCCCCUGGCUGGGACCGGUGGCCUUCUCCGAGAGGCCCCAGGCUGGGCCCGAGCCCCAGGGGGACAGGGCAGGCACAUCCCUGCUUCUCAGGAGCAAGAAGGUGACGCCUGCUGCUUCCUAGAACAUUGCGGUUCGGACGUUUCCCACUUUGCCGACCGAGCUCUGAAGAGCUGCACGUGGUCGAUAGGGAAGUGCCGUUCGGGCGGCGGGGAGAGGCCAUCCCCUCUCUCUGCACGUCUCUAGUUUCGGCUUGGAUAUCAAUUAUAGGCUUUUACAUAAGAAGGCUAAUGCGCUUUCAAAGCAGGCAGAUCACCCCCCUCCCCCCCCAUGUUUUGACAGUUUGGCUUGAGUUGAAAUAUAAUUAAACUUUUCGAAAACAAGGGCUUUGAAACUCAA